AUUAAACGCUGGCGGCAGGCCUAACACAUGCAAGUCGAGCGGUAGAGAGAAGCUUGCUUCUCUUGAGAGCGGCGGACGGGUGAGUAAAGCCUAGGAAUCUGCCUGGUAGUGGGGGAUAACGUUCGGAAACGGACGCUAAUACCGCAUACGUCCUACGGGAGAAAGCAGGGGACCUUCGGGCCUUGCGCUAUCAGCUGAGCCUAGGUCGGAUUAGCUAGUUGGUGAGGUAAUGGCUCACAAAGGCGACGAUCCGUAACUGGUCUGAGAGGAUGAUCAGUCACACUGGAACUGAGACACGGUACAGACUCCUACGGGAGGCAGCAGUGGGGAAUAUUGGACAAUGGGCGAAAGCCUGAUCCAGCCAUGCCGCGUGUGUGAAGAAGGUCUUCGGAUUGUAAAGCACUUUAAGUUGGGAGGAAGGGCAUUAACCUAAUACGUUAGUGUUUUGACGUUACCGACAGAAUAAGCACCGGCUAACUCUGUGCCAGCAGCCGCCGUAA
RNAcentral lists this ribosomal RNA (500 nucleotides) under uncultured bacterium. RNAcentral's name for it is "partial 16S ribosomal RNA". It matches the Rfam family "Bacterial small subunit ribosomal RNA", at positions 30 to 523 of the family's 1533-position model. The record is from RNAcentral.